This 1284-nucleotide ribosomal RNA is filed under the name Triticum aestivum (bread wheat). RNAcentral's name for it is "partial small subunit ribosomal RNA". The record is from RNAcentral. Lineage: Eukaryota; Viridiplantae; Streptophyta; Magnoliopsida; Poales; Poaceae.
AUGACUACGCUCGCGCCGCAGCUCUCUGGCACCGCCGGCGCGAUCACCUCCUCCUCUUCCGCUUCCUUAGCCGCCGGCGUUGCCACCUCCAUCCCCACCACCCUCCCUACCACUUUCAACAACACCAUUACCGUCCGUUUAGAUCGCUCCAACUAUCUCCUGUGGAAAACCCAGGUCGUGCCUGCCAUUGCCGGCCAAGGGUGGUAUGGCUUCCUGGACGGGUCUUGCGCCUGCCCUCCCGCCACCAUCACCACGGGGAGCGGGGACACCGCCACCACGGCGGCCAACCCGGAGUUUGCGCGUUGGUGGUACGCCGACCAGCGUGUCCUCUCGAUCCUUGUCGGAUCGAUGAGCGAGGACAUCCUCGCGCAGAUGGUCGGGCGCACCACGUCGGCUUCGGUCUGGGGCUGCGUCACCGACCUGUUUUCCGCCCAAAAUCGGGCCGGGAUCCGUCAGAUCCGUCGCCAGCUGAUGACAUUAAAGAAGAACGACAUGUCCGCCGCCGACUACUACAGCAAGAUGAAGGGGUUUGCCGACGCCAUGGCAAUGGCGGGCUCCCCCGUCCCCGAUGAUGAACUGAUCGACUACAUCGUUGUUGGCCUCGGAUCCCAAUUCGAGGCACUUCAGCAGGCUCUCGCCGUUCUCGGUGCCGCCAAUGCCUCCCUGUCUCUCUCUGAAUUUUACCCCAUGUUGCUGUCUUGUGAGGCGAUCCAGGUGCAGAACGCCCAGGCCGGCGGAUACUCCUCCUCGGCGAACGCCGCGGCUCGGCAGGGUGACAGCAGCCGCGGUGGAGGCCGCCCUUUCGACAACACCGGGCGCUCUGGUGGUGCCCCUUCGCAUGGCAGCGGUGGCCAACACGGUGGUGGCCACUAUGGCAGCGGCGGCUCCUACAACGGUGGCCAGGAAGCUAACCGCAACACAAACCGCAACGGCGGCGGUGGUACCGGCGGACAAGGCGGCGGCAGUGGUGGUGGCAACCGUCGCUGGCGCCCACGUUGUCAGGUCUGCAAGGCAUGGGGUCAUGAGGCCCUCUCCUGCAAGAAUCGCUACAACGACGCCUUUCAGGCCGAUGGACAGCGCUCCGGCAAUGCGGCCGCCUCCACCCACAGCCACAACGAGCGGGUGCCCCAGACACAGCCGUGGUUUUUCGACACCGGGGCAACCGAUCAUCUCACCAAUGACAUGGACCGGCUAGGCAUCCAUGAACGCUACCACGGGAAGGACCAGGUUCAAACAGCAAACGGCUCAGGACAAGGUAACGAAGAAAAUCCUCCUUCGCGGUAG